UGGGGAAUAUUGAGCAAUGGGGGAAACCCUGACGCAGCGACGCCGCGUGCGGGCUGAAGGCCUUCGGGUUGUAAACCGCUUUUGAUUGGGAGCAAGCUUUCGGGUGAGUGUACCUUUCGAAUAAGCGCCGGCUAACUACGUGCCAGCAGCCGCGGUAAUACGUAGGGCGCAAGCGUUAUCCGGAAUUAUUGGGCGUAAAGAGCUUGUAGGCGGUUCGUCGCGUCUGGUGUGAAAGCCCAUCGCUUAACGGUGGGUUUGCGCCGGGUACGGGCGGGCUAGAGGGCAGUAGGGGGGACUGGAAUUCCCGGUGUAACGGGGGAAUGGGUAGAUAUCGGGAAGAAAACCAAUGGCCAAGGCAGGUCUCUGGUCUGUAACUGACGCUGAGGCUCGAAAGCGUGGGUAGCAAACAGG
Molecule: ribosomal RNA, 411 nt
Filed under: Bacteroidota bacterium
Lineage: Bacteria; Pseudomonadati; Bacteroidota
Description: Bacteroidetes bacterium partial 16S ribosomal RNA
Rfam family: Bacterial small subunit ribosomal RNA
Source: RNAcentral